UCACUCUCUCUAGCACCAAGAAAAACCCUCACCACUCACGAUUCCGACCAAAACUCAACCCCAAUACUGUAGAUUUGGAAUCCUUGAGACCUUGGGAGUUCGAAUAUGGUCAUGCAUGCAUCAACGGGGCAUCAUAGAGGACCUGAGAUUUGUAUUUAAAAAAAAAAAAAAAAGACGAUGCAACCACUAGUACAGCCCCAAAUCGCCUCUCAAGGAAAAACCACUAUGGAGUUGUCUUCGUUCUAGAUCCAUCAUUUAAAGGUAUAACAACAAAAUCUAUUCUAAUUGGAUGAUUUGGAGGUGAAAGGUAGGAAGAAUAAGUGGAACUCUUGAUGUUUUUACAACCUUUCGCGUAGUUAUUAAUGUGUGAAUGCUAAGCAGUCUAAUGCAUGACUACUAAAGCUAUCAUCUCCAUUGAGCUCCUCUUUUAUGUUCUUGUUCAAUAAGAUCAACAGUUCGAAAAUCCAUAUAAAAAUUCAUGCUAAAGAGCAAGGACACUGGAAAUCUCAAAUCCAUAAUUUUUGAAAGGUAUAAAACCUGAGUUUAAUCUAUAGAGAUUAGAGCUCUAAUGUUAAAGUAGUAAUGUAUUGGAGCACUGAUCUGAUGGCAAGCAUGACAGCAUGGAGCUGCCAGUAUUAUAUAUGGCAGCAUGGAGCUACA
Molecule: small RNA, 660 nt
Filed under: Malus domestica (apple)
Lineage: Eukaryota; Viridiplantae; Streptophyta; Magnoliopsida; Rosales; Rosaceae
Description: sRNA MD14G0086400
Source: RNAcentral